GGUUUCCAGGUUUGCCUGUUUGUGUGGAGUCUGACGUAAGUCCAACGAUUGGCAGUCGGUUUCCUGUUUGUGUUUUGUUUGGCGUGCGUUAGCCGAGCUACGAGUGCUCUGAUUCUUCUCUGGUUAGAGAAGAUACGUAUGCAUAGGGUGCAACAUCCUAGCGAGCACGUUUCCCCUGUCCCCGAACUACGUCGACUCUGAUGUUUGUGCGAACAAACUACGUAGGCCCAGGAUGCGACAUCCUGCC
This 247-nucleotide long non-coding RNA is filed under the name Lathyrus oleraceus (garden pea). RNAcentral's name for it is "Pisum sativum (pea) long non-coding RNA (PSAT_LNC002337)". Lineage: Eukaryota; Viridiplantae; Streptophyta; Magnoliopsida; Fabales; Fabaceae. The record is from RNAcentral.